UACAGAGGGUGCAAGCGUUGUCCGGAAUCACUGGGCGUAAAGGGCGCGUAGGCGGCCUGAUAAGUCGGGGGUGAAAUUCUGCGGCUUAACCGCAGGACGGCCUUCGAGACUGUCGGGCUUGAGCACGGUAGAGGCUGGUGGAAUUCCCGGUGUAGCGGUGGAAUGCGUAGAGAUCGGGAAGAACACCAGUGGCGAAGGCGGCUAUCUGGACGGUUUCUGACACUAAGACACGAAAGCGUGGGGAGCAAACAGG
RNAcentral lists this ribosomal RNA (253 nucleotides) under uncultured bacterium. Its description in RNAcentral is "partial 16S ribosomal RNA". It matches the Rfam family "Bacterial small subunit ribosomal RNA", at positions 524 to 776 of the family's 1533-position model. The record is from RNAcentral.